This 253-nucleotide ribosomal RNA is filed under the name uncultured bacterium. RNAcentral's name for it is "partial 16S ribosomal RNA". It matches the Rfam family "Bacterial small subunit ribosomal RNA", at positions 524 to 776 of the family's 1533-position model. The record is from RNAcentral.
GACAGAGGUGCCAAGCGUUAGGCGGAAUCACUGGGCUUAAAGCGUGUAUAGGCGGAUUUGUAAGUACCUUGUGAAAUCCCACGGCUCAACCGUGGAACUGCUCGGUAUACUGCUUAUCUUGAGCCACUUAGGGGCUACCGGAACAAAUGGUGGAGCGGUGAAAUGCGUAGAUAUCAUUUGGAACGCCAAUGGUGAAAACAGGUAGCUGGGAGUGUGCUGACGCUGAGACACGAAAGCCAGGGGAGCGAACGGG